RNAcentral lists this long non-coding RNA (261 nucleotides) under Panax ginseng (ginseng). RNAcentral describes it as "long non-coding RNA (PGIN_LNC016650)". Lineage: Eukaryota; Viridiplantae; Streptophyta; Magnoliopsida; Apiales; Araliaceae. The record is from RNAcentral.
CGGGAUUCACGGAAUCAAUUUAUGUGGUUGGCCCAGUGUCAAGAUUUAAUGCAUCAGUACAAUGCCAAUGCAUUCAACACGCCUGCUGAUGCGCUUUCCCGCUGUAAUCUUAGUGCACUUCCGGUGGUUGUGCCUAUUCCUCUGAUUUUGCCAACAUAUCCUCCUUCGGACGACGAGCAAUAACUCUUUCUCAGGGAAGUCCUCAUACUUUUAUUUGAUUUAUUUUGACGUAAUGAGGACAUUACUUGAGUUAAGUUUGGG